RNAcentral lists this unclassified non-coding RNA (261 nucleotides) under Coniophora puteana. RNAcentral's name for it is "partial internal transcribed spacer 2". The record is from RNAcentral. Lineage: Eukaryota; Fungi; Basidiomycota; Agaricomycetes; Boletales; Coniophoraceae.
AAUUCUCAACUCUCUUUGAUUUCUUCAAAGGCGAGCUUGGAUCUUGGAGGCUUUGCCGGCUGUGAAGUCGGCUCCUCUGAAAAGCAUUGGUAAAGACGUAUUGCAUGCCUCUGUAAUGGAGGUGUGUGCUGGCCUCUGUAAUGGAGGUUGGUAUCAGGUCGGCCUUUCGGUGUGAUAAUGAUCACCGUGGCUAGCUGGCUAUUAAUGUCUAUGCCUUACUUGCUACUUUUUCCAUUGACUUGGAAAAAAGCACUUUGACCA